This is a non-coding RNA of Podarcis lilfordi (Lilford's wall lizard), 1316 nucleotides long. Lineage: Eukaryota; Metazoa; Chordata; Lepidosauria; Squamata; Lacertidae. The record is from the annotation of a GenBank genome assembly.
UGGAAGCAUGACAUCACCUUGUUCACAACAUGAUCCUUCAUUGGCUAGGAUUGUGAGGUAAGGGAGGAAACAAAAUGGCACAGAGGAGGAAGAGGAGGAGGGGAGAAGUGUGUCGUUGCUCCAUAAGCCCACCUCCCAUUUUGCCCUUGACAAUACUAAGUUCUGCUUCUAACCAAUGCUUCUGUCUUGUCUAUUUGCAGCAGUGAAGCAAUCACAAUUCACCCUGUGUUUCCAUGCAUAGAUAACAUGACAAAAUACUCUUGUUGGUUUCACAGCAACAGCCAUCCCCCCCCCAACAAAAAAAAUAGAUGCUACGGUUUACAAGCAUCCAAGAAUAUCAGCAAUACACCACUUAUUUCAUUCUGUGAUUAGCCCAUAACACAAACCGGAGUCAUUCUUAAAUGGCCAUUUAAGAUGUGACAAUUCAAUAAGUACUUUUAGUUUGAGGGUUAGAAAUGCAAGUCCAAAAUCCCUUCACACGGCACACCAAGGUUUUCCUUUAGGAUGCUUAUCAAAACACAAUCUUACUAGUAUCCUGGAAGGGGUUGUAAUAUAUUUUACACAAAACAAUUUUUAAAAAAACAAACCAAAAAGAACCAGUAAUAAAAGUGGCUUGUCUAUUUUCUUCCUAGUAGAUAUGAAGCUUUUCUGUAAACAGGCAUUUUAAAACAGAGGGCUGAGAAAGCAGCAGUACAACAGUGCCAUCCCCUGUUUGCAAAAAUCAUUGUUUGUCUCGAUAAGCAAGGCAAAAGCCUCCAUAAAUUUUUGCUUGUCAUUUUCCCUUCCCUUCCCUUCUUGUUUGUAAAGCAGGCUUACUUCAACCUGCAAAUAGGAAGGAAUUUUCUGGUGUCUCUUUGGGCUGCUUCUUACAUUAUCUUAACUAAAAGAGUUGCCUUGGUAAGAGAUAAGUACACAAAAGCUGCAAGCCACAAAACAUACACCUCUCUUUCACUCUUGAAAACAAAAGCCUGUAUAAAUAAAACUGCUAAUAGAUUUUAUGCUUAUUUAGACCAUUUCUGUACCGGCUUAAUAUAGCAAAACUUUUGUAACACCAAAUGUUGCAAAAAAUAGACAACUGGCAUGGACUCAUAGCACUUCCUUCUGCUUCCUCCCCACUCAAGACCUCUCAACCCGGACUCCAACCAUGAACCCUGGCUCUCUCCCAGGACCCAAACAUACUCACCAAUCCUCUCCAAAAAAAAAUCUCACAAUGAAGAGAGCACUGAGAAACUGCUGAUACCACCCUGGUCUCUCCUUCUCUAGGUUUGUUUUCAUGAGAAGACAGCAAGGUUAAUGGAGCUGUGUCUCAGGCCCGG